GAUGAACGCUAGCGGCAGGCUUAAUACAUGCAAGUCGAGGGACAGCACAGGUAGCAAUACUGGGUGGUAACCGGCAAACGGGUGCGGAACACGUACACAACCUUCCUUUAAGUGGGGGAUAGCCCAGAGAAAUUUGGAUUAAUACCCCGUAAUAUAGUUGAAUGGCAUCAUUUGAUUAUUAUAGCUACGGCGCUUAAAGAUGGGUGUGCGUCUGAUUAGAUAGUUGGCGAGGUAACGGCUCACCAAGUCUACGAUCAGUAGCUGAUGUGAGAGCAUGAUCAGCCACACGGGCACUGAGACACGGGCCCGACUCCUACGGGAGGCAGCAGUAAGGAAUAUUGGUCAAUGGACGCAAGUCUGAACCAGCCAUGCCGCGUGAAGGAUUAAGGUCCUCUGGAUUGUAAACUUCUUUUAUUUGGGACGAAAAAGGGUCUUUCUAGACCAACUGACGGUACCAGAUGAAUAAGCACCGGCUAACUCCGUG
This 484-nucleotide ribosomal RNA is filed under the name uncultured bacterium. Its description in RNAcentral is "bacterial SSU rRNA". It matches the Rfam family "Bacterial small subunit ribosomal RNA", at positions 28 to 507 of the family's 1533-position model. The record is from RNAcentral.